CGUAGGGUCCAAGCGUUAUCCGGAAUUACUGGGCGUAAAGAGUUGCGUAGGUGGCAUGUAAAGCGGAUAGUGAAAGCGUGUGGCUCAACCAUACAUCCAUUAUCUGAACUCACAAGCUAGAAGACGAGAGAGGUAGAUGGAAUUCCUGAUGUAGGGGUAAUAUCCGUAGAUAUCAGGAGGAACACCGAUGGCGUAGGCAGUCUACUGGCUCGUUCUUGACACUAAAGCACGAAAGCGUGGGGAGCAAACGGGAUUAGAUACCCCGGUAGUCCACGCCGUAAACUAUGGAUGCUAGCUGUAAGCCGUAUCGACCCGGCUUGUAGCGAAGCUAACGCGUUAAGCAUCCCGCCUGUGGAGUACGGUCGCAAGACUA
This 373-nucleotide ribosomal RNA is filed under the name uncultured organism. RNAcentral's name for it is "bacterial SSU rRNA". It matches the Rfam family "Bacterial small subunit ribosomal RNA", at positions 526 to 896 of the family's 1533-position model. The record is from RNAcentral.